AAUGACUUGGAGUAAGACGACGUUAUUUCCACGGUUUAUCAAACUUCUUGCAGCUAGUCUUCCCGUUAGAAACAUCACUGCCGACAAACUUAGGGUUUGAUUUUCAUUCCAAAAAUUUUGAGCGGUAAUUUUGGAAUCAUUAAACACCUCUUCUCCACUAUCAAGGUCUUGAUCUUACACUCCCUUCUGCCCGCAGGAUUUGUGGUAACCAUGUCUCUCAAUCCACUUGGAAAACGUCUCCGGUGCAAGUCCCUGAUUCAACAAAUCGGCGUCCAACGGAAAACUGAAGAUGAAUUGGGAUAUCAACCCAGAUCGCCAACCAUAGUACAUGAAUCUGAUUCGCAAGACGACAACGACUAUGUGCCAAUUGCACUUGGAUUGCCUUCAAAAAGUAUACACAUAUAUCCCGAAUUGUUUAAGGAUAAUGCCUUAAGUGUUGGUGGAUAUGUGAAAGGCAGAAAGAUGGUGAUACGGGAAUAUUCUAAGUCUAUUCGGCGGCCUCCUAAUAUGAACUGUCGGGUUGAGUCAUUUGGGAGAAUUUGUCAAAAAUUUGAUGAUAGAAAGACAAGAUGGGUUGGUGAGAUGGGAUUCGGGGGAUUGCUUCAUUUUGCCAAGGAUAUGCAUUUACCAAGACAAUUAGCUUAUUGGGAAUGACCCGAAUUGAUCCAAUGAGUAGGGUCUUUAUAGGCACAGAUGGUCGGGUAUUUCCUUUCUCUAAAAACCAAGUUUGUUGGGUUUUAGGAAUCCCUUGUGGAUCAAAUGUGGUACCGUCUACAAAAGGAAUGUCUGUUACUCUACGCGAUAAGGUACAAACCAUAUUAUUAAAAUAUGGUAGGACAUGGGAGACCAAACCAGCAACAAAAUUGGGUAGGUCGUACACAUCUGUAGGCAUUCAAGUCACUGUUGCGAUGAUGGAUAAGUUGGAAGGCUAUUUUGAAGAAGACCAAGAAGAAGACUUUAAGACUUUGUUCUUGAUUAUAGCCCUGCAGAUGAUUUUAUGUCCAACACAAUCACCAAGAUUACCUCACGAUUUGUUACCGGCUAUUGGAUGUGCCAUGGAUAGUAGUCAAUAUGAUUGGUGUGAGUUGGUACUUGCUAAAUUAAUGGACAAUGUGUCAAGCUUUGCUAGGCGUUUUUAUGCGAAUGGUUUUGCAGGAGGAUGCGGUGGUUGCUCUAUUUUUGUUGUUUUGUUCUACCUUGACCGACUCAAUUGGGAGCCUAUCAAAUUGGAAACGUACCCAAGAAUAAAGGCUUGGGACAUGAAGCAGAUAGGCAUUGCUGCAAAGCGUGACUGAUUAAGGUCAGGGGACUAUGGCAAAUUAGGGAUGUUGGAUGCCGCAUACGGGGAAAGGCACCCUAGAGAGGCGCGGGACACAGUAGCACCCCCAGAUUAUCCAUUGUAUGAAGACGUCUCCAAACAGGUGGUGUGUGCUAGGAAUAGAAGGAGGCGUGAUGACUUGCGCUCUAACCGCUGGAGCUCUAAGUAUGUAACCGACAGUUUAACAGCCAAGGGUGAAGAUGGAGAUUAUACCACUUCCCCAUGAUAUAAGCAUAGGUUCCAAUAUGAGCUGGUUCUUUAUAUGAUUUAUGUUCUUCAUUUGUGAAGUCAACAAAUACUUUAAAUAUGAGUAUCAUUUGAACGGUUUGUAUGUAAUAUGUAUUAUAGGUUUUUUAGUUGAUGAAGUGGCCUGGCGGCAUGACAACAUUCAUCUUCGAUGAUGUAUCCUCAUAAAGUGUAAUUGGUUCGGCCCAUUUAGGUAGUGGAAACUGGAAAGGGCCAUAAUACGCACCUGUGUGUUGCAGUGCUCAUUUGUUUGGGAUCA
Molecule: long non-coding RNA, 1823 nt
Organism: Chenopodium quinoa (quinoa)
Lineage: Eukaryota; Viridiplantae; Streptophyta; Magnoliopsida; Caryophyllales; Amaranthaceae
Exons: 7
Source: RefSeq, a predicted model, not a curated record